Molecule: ribosomal RNA, 407 nt
Filed under: uncultured bacterium
Lineage: Bacteria
Description: partial 16S ribosomal RNA
Rfam family: Bacterial small subunit ribosomal RNA
Source: RNAcentral
AUUGAACGCUGGCGGCAGGCCUAACACAUGCAAGUCGAGCGGAGCGGCGGACGGGUGAGUAAUGCCUAGGAAUCUGCCUGGUCGUGGGGGAUAACGUCCGGAAACGGGCGCUAAUACCGCAUACUAUCAGAUGAGCCUAGGUCGGAUUAGCUAGUUGGUGGGGUAAAGGCCUACCAGGGCGACGAGCCGUAACUGGUCGGAGAGGAGGAUCAGUCACACUGUAACUGGGACACGGUCCAGACGCCUACGGGAGGCAGCAGUGGGGAAUAUUGGACAAUGGGCGAAAGCCUGAUCCAGCCAUGCCGCGUGUGUGAAAAAGGUCUUCGGAUUGUAAAGCCCUUUAAGUUGGGAGGCGUUACCAACAGAAUAAGCACCGGCUAACUUCGUGCCAGCAGCCGCGGUAAUAC